RNAcentral lists this ribosomal RNA (465 nucleotides) under uncultured bacterium. RNAcentral describes it as "partial 16S ribosomal RNA". It matches the Rfam family "Bacterial small subunit ribosomal RNA", at positions 28 to 507 of the family's 1533-position model. The record is from RNAcentral.
GACGAACGCUGGCGGCGUGCUUAACACAUGCAAGUCGAACGGAAAGGCCCCUUUGGGGGUACUCGAGUGGCGAACGGGUGAGUAACACGUGCGUAACCUGCCCUUGACUUCGGGAUAACUUCAGGAAACUGGGGCUAAUACCGGCUAGGAAUCCUUGCUGCAUGGUGGGGGUGGGUAAGCUUCGGCGGUUUGGGAUGGACUCGCGGCUUAUCAGGUUGUUGGUGGGGUAGUGGCUUACCAAGGCUUUGAUGGGUAGCCGGCCUGAGAGGGCGACCGGCCACAAUGGGACUUGGAUACGGCCCAGACUCCUACGGGAGGCAGCAGGGGGGAAUAUUGCACAAUGGGCGGAAGCCUGAUGCAGCAACGCCGCGUGCGGGAAGACGGCCUUCGGGGUGGAAACCGCUUUCAGCAGGGGCGAAGCUGGUGGUGACGGUACCUGCAGAAGAAGCACCGGCUAACUACGUG